Dioscorea cayenensis subsp. rotundata (Guinea yam) is the source of this 314-nucleotide long non-coding RNA. RefSeq lists it as uncharacterized. NCBI's taxonomy places the organism in Eukaryota, Viridiplantae, Streptophyta, Magnoliopsida, Dioscoreales, Dioscoreaceae. The record is from RefSeq and is a predicted model, not a curated record. The transcript has 3 exons.
GUUCAAAUACAGCAGGCAAAUCAGUAACAUUGAGAUUUAACUGCAGUCACUGUUCAAAUUACUGGGGUCAUAUUGCUACAAUGUAAAAGGUCGACGCUGCUCUCGUGGCGCAUAACUGCAGCUUCCCUCCUCAGUAUUCCAAAGUUUACCUGAGAAGCUCGCCCUUGCUAACUCCCGCAGUUUCUUUAUAUCAUUCUUUGGGUGGUACAACAGGAACAAAACCGCUGGUAGGUUCAGAGAAACCCGGCAUGAGUCUGCUCCAAUACCUUCUCGGAAGCAAAGGUAGAACAAGUCUUUUGCCAACUGAUAUCGGU